This 413-nucleotide long non-coding RNA is filed under the name Marmota monax (woodchuck). Lineage: Eukaryota; Metazoa; Chordata; Mammalia; Rodentia; Sciuridae. The record is from RNAcentral.
AAAUAUUAUGUGGUCCACCAUGCGACCAGCGCACUGGUUUCAUUAAUGAGGUUCUUGGCAUAAAAGUUAGCUAGCGAGAUCGAAAUAAAACACACAGACUCAGUUACCUUUUUCUAUGACCAGGUCCGAGAGGGCUCCCCUCUCUGGUUCUCACCUCGAACCACCCGGUAGGGCAGCAAGGAUUACUGAGGGCUAGCAGGAGAGAGAGAGAGGGAGCACGCCAGGGAGUAGCCUUUUAUUGGGGAACAAGAAAUUCAGGGGAGAAUUCCAUCCAAUGAAGGUUGAGGGGGGCCGCACUCCAAAGUCAGGGUCAGUGAUUGGCCCCCGGGGUCAGUGGUCAGUCACACCCCCACACGGACAGGCUCUCUCAUCAGGAGAGGGCCGGGAAAGCUCCGACACAGAUUAGCCAGAGC